Molecule: ribosomal RNA, 390 nt
Filed under: uncultured bacterium
Lineage: Bacteria
Description: bacterial SSU rRNA
Rfam family: Bacterial small subunit ribosomal RNA
Source: RNAcentral
AUUGAACGCUGGCGGAAUGCUUUACACAUGCAAGUCGAACGGCAGCACGGGAGCUUGCUCCUGGUGGCGAGUGGCGAACGGGUGAGUAACAUAUCGGAACGUACCCCGUCGUGGGGGAUAACUCUCCGAAAGGAGUGCUAAUACCGCAUACGACCUGAGGGUGAAAGCGGGGGACCUGCAAGGGCCUCGCGCGAUGGGAGCGGCCGAUAUCGGAUUAGCUAGUUGGUGAGGUAAAGGCUCACCAAGGCGACGAUCCGUAGCGGGUCUGAGAGGACGACCCGCCACACUGGAACUGAGACACGGUCCAGACUCCUACGGGAGGCAGCAGUGGGGAAUUUUGGACAAUGGGGGAAACCCUGAUCCAGCCAUUCCGCGUGAGUGAAGAAGGCC